GGGGCGACGGGCAUGGAUGCCCGUCGAGCACUGAUGGGCCAUGGAUGGCCCUUCAGUGCGUCCAC
Non-coding RNA from Pseudomonas entomophila, 65 nucleotides. Lineage: Bacteria; Pseudomonadati; Pseudomonadota; Gammaproteobacteria; Pseudomonadales; Pseudomonadaceae. The record is from Rfam.